This 524-nucleotide long non-coding RNA is filed under the name Homo sapiens (human). RNAcentral's name for it is "novel transcript". The record is from RNAcentral. Lineage: Eukaryota; Metazoa; Chordata; Mammalia; Primates; Hominidae.
UGGGAGGCCAAGGCAAGAGAACUGUUGAAGGUCAGGAGUUGGAGACCAACCAGCCCAGGGAAUAUAUAGGGAGACCCUAUCUCUUAAAAAAAAAAAAAAUUACCUGGGCAUGGUGGCAUAUGCCUGUGGUUCCAGCUACUCAGGAGGCUGAGGCAGUAGGAUUGCUUGAGCCCAGGAGUUUGAGGCUGCACUGAGCCGUGAUCACACCACUGCAUUCCAGACUAGGUACAGAGCGAGUCUAUGUGGAGUGCAAUGUCUCUAAAAAAAAAAAAAUACCCAAAAUAUAAACAGGGACUAUGAGGUAUGUACAGGAAAUUAAUAGCUGAAGAAUAUUUUACCAUGUUCAAAAACUAAAUUCUUCAUGUGGCUGAGAGAAGAAAGAAAAAAAUGGUAUGUUUGUGUUCCAUUUGCAGGUAUUACAUAAACCCAUUUUAAAUGAACUAAAAUGCCUAGGAUUUGGGGGGGAAAAAUUAUCUUGUGCUCGCAUUUGAAGGUUCUUCUCAGAAAUAAACUGUUUAAAGAGA